UUUUUACUUGAGUCAUUCAUAAUACGUAAUUACAUACUCUUCUUCCUCCAAAAAAAAAAAAAAACAAAACAGAAGGCCAAGUGCAGAACUUCAGAGUAAUCAAUCAACCCGUCGUCGUCGUCUUCAGCUGUCGCCGCUGUGCCACCACAUCUCCUCCCAGCUCUCGUACGGUUGUGCUAGUCCAGUUGCUGCUGAAAUCUAAUUCUGCAAGCUCCUUUAUAGAUGAUUAUGCUCCGUGCCUAGAGACACGUGAACAAGAAGGCCAGAUUGCGGAUAAUAGCAGUGAUAUCUGGGUGUGCUUAUGCUCUAGGUGCUAGAGUAUUGUUAGUGAGUUGCUUAUACUAUUAAAUUUGUUAUGUGGCUUUCUACUAAUAUCAUCUCUUUUUUUUUUACAUCUUCUUAUUGACAAUAUCAGCAGGCCGCACCAAAUGUGACUCAUUUGUUACUUAAAUUUGAUCUAGAUACCCUGAUUGAGCUUACAUACUUACAACCAAGAUUUAAUUAUAGGUACGAUGACUUUAGGUUUAUGUGAAUUCAUUGUAUUGAUUGUUUUGUUCUUACAAGUUUUCUCAUCUCUAUACUGAUUUGUGAUACAGAGUUGCUUAAUUAUGGUUAUUCUUGAUAUGUUGAAUAAACUUUUGAAGCCGGGCGUAAAUGCAUUGCUUCAUGAGUGUUUGGGUACAAAAAUGGUCAUACCCAUUUUAGUCUUGGGUAAUUUUACCCAUAUAAGCCCAAAGGGCAUAAAAAGGUCUAAAAGGUCCCAAACAAGUAAAAUGCAUCAAUAUGGCCUUCAACGGCCCACAUAUGUACUUCUAAGGGUUCACUAACACCCACUAUGUACUCCUAUAUAUACCCCUCAAGGGGCCAAAGGUAAAGAAGGUCACUCUUAUCAUCUAAGAUGACCAUACUUCUUCACUCUCUCCCCUUAACUCCUCUCAAUAUAUGCAUUGUUUGGCUACUAACUUUGGCGUCGGAGGCUCCACCCCGGGAUCCACCCCCAGGGCUCGGGGUUCAUUUUGCAGGUUCUUAGGCACCCCAUCGAGGCCCGGUUAGCUCAUUUUUUGCUGAAACAAUGAGUAUGAAUUUCAGGGAGAAUAUAUAUGGAAAAACUUGAGGAAUAUAAGAACAAAGAAAUUGAGAUAAGCUCCAACAAAGUCUACUUAGAGGUUGUAUGUGGGCAAAAGAAAGGAAAAGUUUACGGUUUAGGGAACGCUUCAUAAAUGUACUUCAAGAACGAUUUGUGGAUAACUACUAAUCUUUAAUAUUUGGAGGCAUAUUUGUAUAUCGUCAUUAGUUCUUAUUUGAAGUAGCUUCCUUU
Molecule: long non-coding RNA, 1318 nt
Organism: Chenopodium quinoa (quinoa)
Lineage: Eukaryota; Viridiplantae; Streptophyta; Magnoliopsida; Caryophyllales; Amaranthaceae
Exons: 3
Source: RefSeq, a predicted model, not a curated record